Cyprinus carpio carpio is the source of this 2172-nucleotide long non-coding RNA. The record is from Ensembl. NCBI's taxonomy places the organism in Eukaryota, Metazoa, Chordata, Actinopteri, Cypriniformes, Cyprinidae.
AGCAUCAUCUUAUAAGAUAAGGUCCAGAUACAUUUCAUUGAUAAGGUCCAGAUACAUUUAAAUUAUUAUUAUUAUUAUUAUUAUUUUCAUCUGUCUUUGCACAACUGCACAUAACAAUACAAUAAAAUUGCAUAACAAAAAACAAUGCAUUGCAAAAGAAGUUAACUUCCAUACUGCUUUUGUCAAUGCAUAAGGUACAGCGAUGGAGAAAUAAUAUGCAAAAAUAUCUUUAUAGAGCACACUUGAGCUCAUUUGUCCUGGAGCAUCAUGACUGUCAGCACAGCAUUGUAGUUGCUCUUUGUUCUUCAGUGGGCUUUGUGUGCGAAUGUGUCACUCACUAAUCAUGGAGAAAAAAGGCCCAUUCCCUCACCUGAAUGGCUACAGGUCACUGUAUCAUUAUGGAAAAACAGAACAGGCACAAGCACCGCUGCUGUUUGUCUCAUGCAAAUUUGUCGUGUAGGAAAGAGGUUGGUGGAUUACGUCAGGUGAAAUCCUCAGCUGCAUCCUGAUCAAGGUAUAAAAAGUCAGUCUGAAGCACAAUAUAGCAAUACUCCUACUUUGCCUUACAGGACAGAAGUUGUACAAGUGAAGAAUGAAUAUCUCUGCUCUGUUGGUGUUUAUUUCUGCUGUCGUGUCUGUUUAUGGGUAUUAUGAACUGCCCUGCUCUGACUGCAAUCAUCCUUGUACUGCUGAUCGCUUGAAAAACGUCACAGAACAAUUAUUCGAGCACAUGAACUUUACCGACUGCAAAGAGAACGAACACUUUUCAAAAAGAGCCAAUCCUACCUGGAAGUGCGAACCAUCACACCCGGUUUUCAACAGACAUCCUGAAACUGUCCAUAAUGCCAUAUGUGGAAAUUGCAAAGUUGGAUUUGAGGCAGUAUCGAUUUUGCAAAAUAUCAACAUGUUAUUCAAAAAGUCCUGCCUGAACAGAAAUAACUCUAAUAAUAACACAAUAUUAUAUGUAAAACCAGUCAAAAUCUCAUUAGGCUGUACGUGUGUAAAGAAAACUCCCUAACAAUAUGUAAAUUAUGCCUGCAUGCACUUCUGAUAAGCUCAGCAAUAUGACCAUCAUGUAUUCUUUUACUUUUUUUUAGUUGUAAAAGCCAAAUAUAAUGAAUAUCUAUAAAAAUCAGUGAUAUUGAAAAAUGCUCUUAAUGUUUUUUACAAUGCAUGUUUGUAAAAACGUUCUCAAAACCAUGUAAUAAUUUGGCUGUGUAUAUAUAAUGAUGCAUUUUUUGUGCUAAAUUACUCUUCUUAUAGAAGUAAAUAAAGCUUGUUCAAAUAAACAAAAUUGUUUAUUUUUUUGUAUGAUAUUCAAAACAGUACAUGAAUUUGACACGAGCUCAUUUAGAUGCCAUACUAUGUCACACAUAGUUAUAUGCAUUAUAGUUCAUCCCAGUGUAUGAAUUCAUAUUUUCUAUUAAGAAACAGAGUUAUGUUUCAUGUAUUUGUUUCAUAUUUUAUAACUGCGUAAUCUAGUUCUGGUCACAAUUAUUGACACCCUUGGUAAAUAUGACCAAAGAAGGCUGUGAAAAUCAUUCCACAGGGUUAUUUUUUAAAUCUUGCAUUCAGGAAAUUCACAAAGAAAUCUAACUUUACAUUGAAGUAAAAAAAAAAAGAAAAAAAAAAAAAAGAAAAGAAAAAUUAAAAAGGGGGAGAUCCACAUUUAUGAAAUAAAUGUUUUCUCCAAUACACACUGGCCACAGUAACUAUCACUCCUUGAAAUCCUUCUAAAUAAAGUAUCUCUGAAAUAUAUUCCCAUUCAUUCUUACAUUUUUUAGCACACCAGGCUCACUAGGAACAUGACAUUUUCUAGCAUAGGCGGAGUUUCACUUUUAUGCUGGGGGGGGGCACCCACUGGCAGACGAGCCACGAACCCUUUUUUUUUUUUUUUGUUCUAUAUAUCAUAUAUUUAUAUAAUAUAUAUUCGACAGUAAAAUACAUAAUAAAUAAAUAAAUAAAUAAAACAUUUUUUCCUGAGGGUACGCACAGAGUUUUUUUUUUUAUUUAUUUUUUUAUGGCGGACCAAAUGAUCAGUGAGAGCAGAACGAAUGUGCCACACGUUUCAAAUUCAACUAAAUGGUAAAAUACAUAUAGGUCCUUCUCAAAAAAUUAGCAUAUUGUGAAAAAGUUCAUUAUUUUCCAUAAUGUAAUGAUACAAAUUAAACU